RNAcentral lists this ribosomal RNA (780 nucleotides) under Triticum aestivum (bread wheat). Its description in RNAcentral is "partial small subunit ribosomal RNA". Lineage: Eukaryota; Viridiplantae; Streptophyta; Magnoliopsida; Poales; Poaceae. The record is from RNAcentral.
AUGUCGGAGCAUUCUGAGAGCAAGGCUGAAAAGCUCAUGGGCAACAUCAUGGAUACUAUUGCUGACAGGCUCCCCAAGCAGAAGUCUGACAAUAUCAUGAGCAACAUCAUGGAUACCAUUUCUGACAAGCUCCCUAAGCAGAGGUCUGGCCGUUUCGAUCCAGGCUCAGUCGCUGAUGUGAAGAACAAGAUGUUUGGUCGUCAGAGGUCCCUCCAUGGAGUUUUGGGUGGCGGAAAGUCUGCUGAUGUGUUGUUAUGGAGGAACAAGAAGAUAUCUUCCAGUGUUUUGGGUCUCGCAACAGCUAUCUGGGUUUUCUUCGAGUGGCUUGAUUACCACUUCUUGACAAUCAUUUCAUUUGCCCUUGUUAUUGGAAUGGUGGUUCAGUUUGUUUGGUCCAACUUCUCAAGGUCUUCUGAAAUACCCCGGGUUAAGUUGCCAGAGGACCUGUUUGUGAACAUUGCUGUUGCCAUCGGUGCCCAAGUAAACAAGUUCCUUGGUUUCCUUCAAGAUGUGUCUUGUGAAAGAAACUUGAAGCAUUUUGUAUUGGCAAUUGUUGGAUUGUGGGCUGCUUCUGUAGCUGGGAGCUGGUUCAACUUCCUGACUGUCAUUUACAUUGGGUUUGUCUGCGCGCACACGCUCCCUGUGCUGUACGAGAAGUACGAGGACCAGGUCGACGACUUCCUCUACAGCAUCCUGGGCCUGCUCCGAGAGCAGUACCAGAAACUCGACAGCGGCGUCCUGAGCAGGAUACCCUCCAAGAGGAACAAGAAGAGCGAGUAG